GACGAACGUUGGCGGCGUGCUUAAUACAUGCAAGUCAACUGAAGCAGUGGUAGCAAUAUCGCUGUGGAGGUGGCGCACGGGUGAGUAACACGUAGGUAAUCUGCCUUCAGGUCUGGCAUAACUCCGGGAAACCGGGGCUAAUAGCAGAUGAUGCAGCGGCUCGACAUCGAGACAGUUGUUAAAGCUAUGGCGCCUGAAGAUGAGCCUGCGUCUGAUUAGCUAGUUGGUGGGGUAACGGCCCACCAAGGCAACGAUCAGUAGCUGGUCUGAGAGGAUGAUCAGCCACACUGGAACUGAGACACGGUCCAGACUCCUACGGGAGGCAGCAGUAAGGAAUAUUGCUCAAUGGGAGAAAUCCUGAAGCAGCAACGCCGCGUGAGGGACGAAGGGCUUUUGCUUGUAAACCUCUGUAGUGAGAGAAAAAAAUCCCAAUCUUUGGGACAUGAUGGUAUCUCAAAAGUAAGCCCCGGCUAACUACGUG
This 481-nucleotide ribosomal RNA is filed under the name uncultured bacterium. RNAcentral's name for it is "partial 16S ribosomal RNA". It matches the Rfam family "Bacterial small subunit ribosomal RNA", at positions 28 to 507 of the family's 1533-position model. The record is from RNAcentral.